UUAAAUUGAAGAGUUUGAUCAUGGCUCAGAUUGAACGCUGGCGGCAGGCUUAACACAUGCAAGUCGAACGGUAACAUGAGUGCUUGCACUUGAUGACGAGUGGCGGACGGGUGAGUAAAGUAUGGGGAUCUGCCGAAUGGAGGGGGACAACAGUUGGAAACGACUGCUAAUACCGCAUAAAGUUGAGAGACCAAAGCAUGGGACUUUCGGGCCAUGCGCCAUUUGAUGAACCCAUAUGGGAUUAGCUAGUUGGUAGGGUAAUGGCUUACCAAGGCGACGAUCUCUAGCUGGUCUGAGAGGAUGACCAGCCACACUGGAACUGAGACACGGUCCAGACUCCUACGGGAGGCAGCAGUGGGGAAUAUUGCACAAUGGGGGGAACCCUGAUGCAGCCAUGCCGCGUGUAUGAAGAAGGCCUUCGGGUUGUAAAGUACUUUCGGUAAUGAGGAAGGUAGCGUAUCUAAUAGGUGCGUUAAUUGACGUUAAUUACAGAAGAAGCACCGGCUAACUCCGUGCCAGCAGCCGCGGUAAUACGGAGGGUGCGAGCGUUAAUCGGAAUGACUGGGCGUAAAGGGCAUGUAGGCGGAUAAUUAAGUUAGGUGUGAAAGCCCUGGGCUCAACCUAGGAAUUGCACUUAAAACUGGUUAACUAGAGUAUUGUAGAGGAAGGUAGAAUUCCACGUGUAGCGGUGAAAUGCGUAGAGAUGUGGAGGAAUACCGGUGGCGAAGGCGGCCUUCUGGACAGAUACUGACGCUGAGAUGCGAAAGCGUGGGGAGCAAACAGGAUUAGAUACCCUGGUAGUCCACGCUGUAAACGAUGUCGAUUUGGAGUUUGUUGCCCUGAGUGAUGGGCUCCGAAGCUAACGCGAUAAAUCGACCGCCUGGGGAGUACGGCCGCAAGGUUAAAACUCAAAUGAAUUGACGGGGGCCCGCACAAGCGGUGGAGCAUGUGGUUUAAUUCGAUGCAACGCGAAGAACCUUACCUGGUCUUGACAUCCACAGAAUCUUGCAGAGAUGCGAGAGUGCCUUCGGGAACUGUGAGACAGGUGCUGCAUGGCUGUCGUCAGCUCGUGUUG
Molecule: ribosomal RNA, 1075 nt
Filed under: Gilliamella apicola
Lineage: Bacteria; Pseudomonadati; Pseudomonadota; Gammaproteobacteria; Orbales; Orbaceae
Description: bacterial SSU rRNA
Rfam family: Bacterial small subunit ribosomal RNA
Source: RNAcentral